This 2379-nucleotide long non-coding RNA is filed under the name Sus scrofa (pig). RNAcentral describes it as "lncRNA (ENSSSCG00035036748.1)". The record is from RNAcentral. Lineage: Eukaryota; Metazoa; Chordata; Mammalia; Artiodactyla; Suidae.
CUUUGCCUUUUCUAGGGCCACUCCCGCAGCAUAUGGAGGUUCCCAGGCUAGGGGUCAAAUCGGAGCUGUAGCCACCGGCCUACGCCAGAGCCACAGCAACGCAGGAUCGGAGCCACAUCUGUGACCUACACCACAGCUCACGACAACACCCGGUCCUUAACCCACUGAGCAAGGGCAGGGAUUGAACUGGCAACCUCACGGUUCCUAGUCGGAUUCGUUAACCACUGCGCCACGACAGGAACUCCUCUUUCUAACUUUUUAUUUUCCAUCAUCCAAGCCAAGACCUUGAGCACAACUGCCACCACAAAGGGGUAUAAACAGUCAAAUCAUCUCAUUUGCUUCCCAAACCCCAAGCAUACAGGGAAGAAUAGGGCCUUUAACAGAUCAAAUAGCACAUUAAUCGUAAGAGAAGGACUGCUAAAAUCCAAUUCAAGUUGAAGGGAAGGAAGGGGGUGAUUUUUCCUUUGUUGAAUGUCACAAUAAAUUUACACCCAGAUUCAACAAGUGCUUUUCAGUGGCUUCACAGUAGCAGAGGUAAUUAUACUACCGCCUCUUGAUGUAUGAGUCCCCAUUGAGCGAAGUCGAAUCCCAAGGACAGCAUUCCAGAGCAGGCAAAAGAAUUCUUUCCAUACACACCCACUGUGUGUCUUGGUUUAGGCCAGACUUCUCUGAAGGAGACAGAGUUGGAAGCAAAGGCGAGGAGCUAAAGUUGCUCUGAUAGGGACCCAGGCAGAUACACAAAAACUAUUAACAUUCAAGUGCUUACCUUCAAGAACUGCUCUAAAAUUUUCACCUAUCACCUCCUGUCAAUUAUGAAUUCGUAAGGACUAAAGGCUCAUGUAAUGUGUUUAACCUCUCACAGAGUCCAGGACAAUGCCUUAAAUACAGUGGAGAAUGAACAAACAUUUGAUGAGUUGAAACGAAAAAGAAUUCCAGGAGGUCAGUUGCAAAGGGCAUUUCCUGCAGUAACAGAGCUUCACAGAAAUCAUGCCACACUCGGGAGUUCCCACUGUGGCUUAGCAGAAAUGAACCCAAGUACCCAUGAGGACACAGGUUUGAUCCCUGGCCUCGCUCAGUGGCUCAAAGGUUCCAGCAUUGCUGUGAGGUGUGAUGCAGGUCCCAGACGCGGCUUGGACCUGGCACUGCUGUGGCUGUGGUACAGGCCAGCAGCUAAGCUACUGCUCUGAUUCAACCCCUAGCCUGGGAACUACCAUAUGCCAUGGGUGUAACAUACUUAUACAUAUGUGCCUAUAUACAGAUACAUCUGGGAACAAAUGAAUGAAAGAGUAAGCCAUCAAAGAAACUACAUAUUUUACAUAUGUAUCCUUUUUAUUUUCUGGUUCCUAUUAAAAUAUCAGUUCCAUCAAGACAGGAAGCUGUGCCUGCUCACUGCUAUUAACAACAUGCCACAGGAUAAUGGUCAGGAAAGAAGAGGCAGCUGCUAUUUUCUUAAUUUAUGUUAUCAAAUGAAUGAAUUAAAUGCUAAGGAAAAGCCAAGUACUGUGCUAGGUCCCUGAAGAUGGAAGGAAUAUAAUGCAUCAUCUUAUCUGGGAGAAGGUAGCUCUCACACGCAUCAUUGCUCUACAUGGAUACGAUUAGGGCUACAAUGAAGGGUGAAACUUUUCUGCUGGGAAGAAACGUCUUUUCAUUUAUGGGAUAUUAACACUUUAUAAAUGCCCAAUCACAUGUAUUUUGCAAUUAACGUUCAUUCUCCCAUCCCCCUGUGCAAUCAUAUUCUUAGUCUCGGGCAAGAGGGGCUCUUUCCCCCACCUGCCCACUAGGAGCUCCAAAUCCCCUUCUGGGUCACAUUCCAGCUGCUAGGACCCCGACAUUCUCUUUUAAGCAGCCCACACACCCCUAAGGGAUCUCUACAGGUUUUUUCCCCUGAGAUAUUCUCCCAAGGGCAACCUUUAAUAAGCAACCCGGGCCCCUAGCAUGGGGUGUUGACCCAGUGGAUACCUUGACUCAGCUGUUCCCAGGCAUGCGUGCUAGGUUUAUGCUUCUGCUCAUGCCACUGGUCAAGUGUGGAACUCUGUAGGAUUUGGAAGCUCAAAUUCCAACCUGGCCUACAAGGUCAUUAUAAAGUUGCAUUUUGUCAGAAUUGGAGGCGUUCUCACUAUAUUCUGACAGUUUUUUAAUUUGAUGUGUCGACCUGCAAAUAUUUAGAUGUGUAGAAGGUAGACCUGCCUUCUCCUUCUAAUCCUGGGCACCACAAUGAACAAAGGGCAAGCCCAGGGCCAUUAACCAACUGCCUGAGGACACAAGACCAGUAACUGGAAGAGUCAGAAUUCAAAUCAGUUCUUUACAACCUCAGGGUCAGUUCCUAGGGCAAAGCCCCUCCCAUCGGCUUCACAGCUCCAAAACACUUGGGAGCACGCU